RNAcentral lists this small RNA (126 nucleotides) under Marmota monax (woodchuck). The record is from RNAcentral. Lineage: Eukaryota; Metazoa; Chordata; Mammalia; Rodentia; Sciuridae.
ACAGGGCAUGGUGGAGCGUGCCUGUAAUCCCAGCUACUCAGGAGGCUGAGGCAGGAGGAUUGCAAAUUCAAAGUCAGCCUCAGCAUCUUAGUGAGGCCCGGAACAACUCAGCAAGACCUGUCUCUA